This 483-nucleotide ribosomal RNA is filed under the name uncultured bacterium. Its description in RNAcentral is "partial 16S ribosomal RNA". It matches the Rfam family "Bacterial small subunit ribosomal RNA", at positions 28 to 523 of the family's 1533-position model. The record is from RNAcentral.
GAUGAACGCUGGCGGCGUGCUUAACACAUGCAAGUCGUACGGUGAAGCAGGAGCUUGCUCUUGUGGAUCAGUGGCGAACGGGUGAGUAACACGUGAGCAACCUGCCCCUGACUCUGGGAUACGCGCUGGAAACGGCGUCUCAUACUGGACAUGUGAUGUGACCGCAUGGUCUGCAUCUGGAAAGAAUUUCGGUUGGGGAUGGGCUCGCGGGCGAUCAGCUUGGUGGUGAGGUAAUGGCUCACCAAAGCGUCGACGGGUAGCCGGCCUGAGAGGGUGACCGGCCACACGGGGACGAAGACACGGCCAAGACUCCUACGGGAGGCAGCAGUGGGGAAUAUUGCACAAUGGGCGGAAGCCUGAUGCAGCAACGCCGCGUGAGGGAUGACGGCCUUCGGGUUGUAACCUCUUUUAGCAGGGAAGAAGCGAAAGUGACGGUACCUGCAGAAAAAGCACCGGCUAACUACGUGCCAGCCGCCGCAGUAA